Molecule: ribosomal RNA, 253 nt
Filed under: uncultured bacterium
Lineage: Bacteria
Description: partial 16S ribosomal RNA
Rfam family: Bacterial small subunit ribosomal RNA
Source: RNAcentral
UACGAAGGGGGCUAGCGUUGCUCGGAAUCACUGGGCGUAAAGGGUGCGUAGGCGGGUCUUUAAGUCAGGGGUGAAAUCCUGGAGCUCAACUCCAGAACUGCCUUUGAUACUGAGGAUCUUGAGUUCGGGAGAGGUGAGUGGAACUGCGAGUGUAGAGGUGAAAUUCGUAGAUAUUCGCAAGAACACCAGUGGCGAAGGCGGCUCACUAGCCCGAUACUGACGCUGAGGCACGAAAGCCAGGGGAGCGAACGGG